CGGUGAAUGGAGUUGAUCCGUGGGAUAUUGGGAAAGAUGUGGAGGAGGGAACGCAGACGGGAUGAAGGUUGGCUUGAUUCGGAAGAGCAAAUAUGGGAGACAUUCUUUGCAAUCAGUUCGGAUGUUGCAGACGCUGAUAAGAUUCUUACUCUGUUCCGAAGCAAGGAAAAUGUUCAUGGAUAAGAACGGGAAGGCUGGUAGAGUUGAUCCGGAAUGGGAAAGAUGCAGAGGAGGAGGAGAGUUGGAUUCGGGAUGAGCAUGGGAUUGUUGCGGAUGCAAUGGAUACAGAUAGCGAGCUCUUCCGUGAUGCUCGGGGAGAAAGAUUUGCUCGGAAAAACAGGGGGUUCUUUGGUCGGGUGAUCCCAUGCGAAUGUAGAGACGGAGAUGAUUCAUGGAUUUGGUUGUUUGGAAUCCUUACUGGGUUCGGAUUAUGAAGAGGUCCGUGGAUCUUGGCUGGGCGUGGAAGAAGUUUGGGAUCCGGUCGUGAAAGAAGGGAAUGGCUGGGAUAUGAAUGGGUUUGGGUGUGGGGUUUUGAGUGGCUGAUCACAAAUGGGAUGAUUGCUAAUCUACGGUCGUGGUAUGGGUUCAAGUAGUGCAUUGUGGAGAUGAUGAAACUAAUCUUGAGAGGUUGAACUUAAUUGGAUGUGGGAGCAACUAAACCAUNNNNNNNNNNNNNNNNNNNNUGGGGGUUCUUUGGUCGGGUGAUCCCAUGCGAAUGUAGAGACGGAGAUGAUUCGUGGAUUUGGUUGUUUGGAAUCCUUACUGGGUUUUGGAUAAUGAAGAGGUCCGUGGAUCUUGGCUGGGCGUGGAAGAAGUUUGGGAUCCGGUCGUGAAAGAAGGGAAUGGCUGGGAUAUGAAUGGGUUUGGGUGUGGGGUUUUGAGUGGCUGAUCACAAAUGGGAUGAUUGCUAAUCUACGGUCGUG
Molecule: long non-coding RNA, 923 nt
Filed under: Phoenix dactylifera (date palm)
Lineage: Eukaryota; Viridiplantae; Streptophyta; Magnoliopsida; Arecales; Arecaceae
Description: long non-coding RNA (PDAC_LNC003426)
Source: RNAcentral